UUCUACCAUACUACCCUAAACGUACCUGAUCUUAUUUGAUCUAGGAAACUAAGCAGUGUCAAGCCUGGUUAAUACUUGAAUGGGAGAAAUGCAGAAUCCCAGGCCACAUGCAGACCCACGUAGUUACAGAAU
Molecule: ribosomal RNA, 132 nt
Filed under: Carlito syrichta (Philippine tarsier)
Lineage: Eukaryota; Metazoa; Chordata; Mammalia; Primates; Tarsiidae
Source: RNAcentral